Non-coding RNA from Dermacentor albipictus, 5092 nucleotides. Lineage: Eukaryota; Metazoa; Arthropoda; Arachnida; Ixodida; Ixodidae. The record is from RefSeq and is a predicted model, not a curated record.
GAUAGGUCGAACUUGAUCUUCACAUAGAACUAUACUAUUGCAGGCUGGCGUUUUUGUCCGCUAUAAUAUAUUUGCGCAAGUUCCUUUAUCAAUCAAGUAAGUAUCUGUGAACAUGCUUUGCGGGGGGAUUCAUGAAUGGGGGGAGCUUGAGCUUCACAUAGAACUAUUCUAUUAUAGGCUGAUGAUUUCUUCCAUUAUAACUUAUUUACGGAAAUUCGUUCAUUAAUCAAUUAAGUUAGUGUACUUAAGCGUGCAUUUGCAGGGGUGGUGAUGGAUGGAUCGAAUUUGAGCAUCACAUAAAACUGAGCCAACACGACUGAGCUGAGGUUCUAACAUGCUAUAUGCUUAUGCGUUUUCCGCAAUAUGUAAUUUGCGCAAAAUCGCUUCAUAAUCAUAUAUUUAUUGCCUUUGUGCGUGCGUUCAAGCGGUGGGAUGGAUGCAUCAAGUUUCACCUUCAGAGAAAAAUAAGUUAGCACGAUUACGCAGAGCUUCUAUUGGGUAUAGACUGAUGUUCUUUCCUCGAACAGAAAUGUCUGCAUAUUCGUUUAAUAUUAAGGGAUGUUAGUGUAAGCAUGCGGGCUUUUGCAGGGGGAGUGAUAGAUGCGUCGAAGUUGAGGUUUUUAGAGAUUUGGGUCAGACGACGUGGCUGAGAUUCUGUUGGGCUCUAUUUCUUUUUCCGAGAUUAGUAAUUUUUGCAAAUUUAUAUAAUAGUCAUGUAAUUUAGUAACUGCGUAGGUGUGUUUGCAGGAGGAGUGAUGGAUACGUCGAGAUUCAGCUUUUCAUGGAGGCGAUUUACCACAAAUGAGCUGGUUGCAGUUUUCCGCGACAACUCUAAUUUCUUGAAAUUCGCUUGAUAAUCGUGCAGGUAGCUGUGCAGCGGGAGCGAAAUAUGUGUGAAAUUUGAGCAUUAUAUAUAAGUAAUUCCGACAGCGCAGACGUUCUAUCGGGCUGUAUACAUACGUUCUUUCCGCGAUGACGUACUUCGCAUAUUCGUUUAAUAUUGGUGCAAGUUUGUAUACGCGCAUCUGCAGUGGCAGUGAUGGAUGGUUCGAAUUUAAGCUUUACGGUGAAGUGGGUUAACACGACGUCGCUGAGGUUCUGACAUGCUGUAGGCUGGUGUUUCUUCUGAGAAUUGAUUUAUCUAUCAUUUACGUGUCUGCACACGUGCAUUUGUAGGGGGCGUGAUGGAUGCGUUGAGUUUGAGCGUUACAGAGAACUGAGUCAGCGUGACGUAGCGUAGGUUCUAACGGGCUAAAUGCUUGUAUUUUGCUCUAUAAGUAACUUGCGCAAAUGAGUUUAUUAACCGUAUGAGUUAGUUUCUACAUAGGUGCAUUUGUGCCAGCGAUAGUAAUAAUGCUCAUGUCGUGUCUAUAUAAAUGUUACCGCAAUUAAAAGAAAGGGGAUGGCGGAAUCUGAGAACAAGUUCGAGUUUGAUGGUGACUAGGCUAGCAACCCAGUGUCUCGUAUCAUGAAAUAUUUUUCCCGUUCCUGUCUCAUACGCAAACCACGUUUUCUUUUGUUUGCUUUCGUCCAUCGCUGCCGAGAGCGACCGGCACGACAUGGGCCCGGUCGUGUUGUGCACUUUGCGGCUUCGUCACCAGGUGAAGCGUGGGAGGCAGCACCGGGGGCAUCUGUGCGAGUCAGAGCAACAAGGGCGACUGGGGUGCUCAAGUGGCCUGGUGCCUUGGUUCCCGCGCUGCAGACCUGGUGACGAGCAGUUCUUGCCUACUUGUGUAUUGCUGCCCGUACAGCGGACUUAGUGGCCAGCUCUUCUAUCAGCCUGCUGUCUUGCCGUCAACCUUGUGCCACCCGUUCUUGCGAAGUGCUGGUGCUGUCCUUGCGUGCUUCGAUCGGGUUCGCCUGUUUCCUGCACACGACCGAGGGCGGUUAUGGCGCUCUGCGAAGCUGGCUAUCAUCGCGAGGUGUCAAGAGUGCUGUCGGCUGUAUACAUCAUUGAGUCCGGGGUGUGAGUCUGGCGAAAGUGGAACUAUCUCCACAAUUGGUCGCUUCAUAAUACACACCUAAAUUUACAACAUGCCAACAGAAAAAUAAAAAGAUAUUAUCAACGGCGGACACAUUUAGGACUUGUCGUUCUGUCCUGUCGUCGCUAGGUUGCAGCUGACGCAGUCACGCGCAACCUGGUACAAGUAGCGAAGUCUUUCUCUGCGCGACAAAUAAAAAAGAACGAAAAGAACUGAUGGCAUAUUGAGUUACACUUCUUGGAGUACCCAAGACAUUUGAUGACUGAAAUUUUGGGGUAGAUCACUGCGGCGUUUGACGUAGUGAUCAGAGUAGAACCUCAUGGUUUCCUUUGCCCACCUUUGUCUGUGUGCUCCUCACAUACGCGUGUAAUGUUUUCUUCUUUAUUUAUUUCAUCGGUACCACGAACGAACGGCACGAGAUCGACCUGAUUGUGUCGUGGACCCAUCUGUCAAGCAGUGACAUUGCUGGCCUUUCCUGCAUUCUCACCAGGACCAGCGUGGGAAGCAGCACGAUGGCCGACUCUACCAGCCGCAGCAGCAAGCGGCCUGGUGACCUGGUGGCCAGCAGUUAUUGAGCACAGACAUCUCGAUGCCCAGCCUGUGGGCCAGCUGGUCAGCUCUUCUAUCGGCCUGGUGUCUUGGUGCCCGCACUGCAGACUUGGUGACCCUCUGUUCUGGAGGCCUGGUGACUGCCCAUGCUGUGGACCUGGUGGCCAGCUGCUCUAGCUACCUGCGGCCUGUUGUCUUAGUCCCUCGCCUGCGGGCCCGGUGGCCAGCAGUUCCAGUGCACUGUUAUCUUGCUGCCCGCCCUAUGGACCUGGUGGUCAGCUCGUCCAUCAGCCUGGUGUCUCGCUGCCCGUUUUGCGGAUCUGGUGACCUCCCGUUCCAGCGAAGUGGUAUCAUGCUGCCCACCCUGCAGAUCUGGCGGCCAGCUGUUCCGGUCAACCUGACUUCUUUAGCAGCGAGGUGAAUAUCUCCUGCAGCAUGCUUGUGUCAAGCCACAUGUAGCAGCUGCGAGCAACGUACGUGACACAGUGUUCAUGCCACUGGCAAGGCUGCAGCACACUCUGUUGUCCUCGCGCAGCCGGAUGCUCCAUUUUGGAUGUCGGUUGGCCAGGAUGUCCAGCAAGGUUGAACCUUCUUGCUCAGCAUUUCUAAGUGCAAAAUUGCGGAGCAGCGUGCUCACUGGAAGUGGCGAUUAUGACGAGCAUGUCUCCACCACGGACUUCGAACGACUGUCCCUCGACCAGGAACAAGUUGGUAUGUGGUCCGCUGCACAGCCGCUGACCCAGCCUCGAGUGGUCCUGCUCAAACGUCAGCUCUGGAGUCUGUGUAAAAGCGGCCACGUUUAUGUUCACGAUGAAGUGGCCAUUGGCACCAUUGCCCACAAAUAUGGACAACGCGUUGUUACGUGCGCGCACACACACGUGCACACGCAUACGCGCACACACGCAUACGAACACGCAUACGCACACACGCACACACAGACACAGGAAAGAGCGCUGGCCAUGAGGCCAGAAGACGACAAUGACGACGUGUAACGCCGGUGACAUGCACGAUGACUGUCGUGUCAAGUGCCGUGAGCUGAACUAAUUUAGUGUUGGCAGAGGCAGGUCCUGGUUAGUCUAAGGAGAGCUGUAGGUAGGGCAGUGGGAGGAGAGAUCAUCGAAAUACAGCACCUAUAGGACCGGGGCUUACCUAGCUGUCCAAUAGGUAAAGGCAUAGGAAAGACAAGCAGUAGAAUGUUCGUUGAACGCCGUAGUUGGGAUAGAUAGCUGGUGGAACAGAAAACUAGAAGUUUCGGGAAAGUGUCUAAGCAUGACGCGAGUGCCCCGCCUUCUUCCGCCUUGGAACGCACUUCUACCGUCCUUGUCGUUCGCUGUACGUCCGUUCUUCACCGAACGGGACGUAGCCUAACCUAAGGCUAACUUGCUCUAAUUACCCCCUAGCUAUUGUUUGUUCUGGCGCUGGUUUCACCGUGGAAAUUUAUUAAGUAUGAAGUAUUACCGCGUAAGGGCAGGCCGGGUUUAAAUGGGCACGUUUAAGUGUUCCAAGUUGCCCGCUGCGCGUAGUAGCAUCAGCUGCGCAUCGCCGUUACGAAGGCCUGAAGCGGAAAAAGGAAGGGAGCAAUGUAUAGCAAGUUUCCACGCUGCCGCCGCCGAAGCACCAAUCGGCAUCGUUUGCAUGUUACUGACGGCGCAAACUAAUAAACGUGCAGCAUUCGUCGCAACUCUUACUACCAACAGCGUUCGUAGACGAAAGAUGGCGGGGCAGUAUUGAUCUGUUGUAAAACGCGCAAUGUGAGUGUGGUUACUAUCGGCUGGUCAAGCUGGUGUAGCGAAGUCUGCCGAGGCAACCAGCCUGGAGCGGAUUGUCCGAGUUUCGCUUACUUGAAAGCUGGUUGAGUGUCCAUACCCAUAGAAAUUGAGACCCGAGGGCUACAACACUGGUAAUCGGUGUGCCCAGUGUUGCAUUCCUGCACGAGCGUUUGCCGGAAGUACGUAAUUUCUCUGAAGUUAAAAUGAACUGUUUCGCUUACUUCAGCCUCUUUAUUAAAUUGGUUCGAUAAAUAUAGACAGUAGCAGGAGGAAAAACCGCGCUCAUUCAAGCACCCUUGUUGAUGUUCCGCUACUGACCGCGUAUAGAUAUCUUUUAUUUGACCAAAUAGGGCAGCCCGAAAACAGUGAAAAUAAUGUUUCUAUUGAAAAUCACGUUUGCGAAAAAGGUGAUCUCGCACUACGUUUGCGAGUUCCACCCGCCGCACAGCAGUGGAAAAUUUGAGAUAUUCGCAAGAGUGUUUGUUAACCGCAUAGUGUUUUCACCAAGUCACCAAGGUGGUUAAGGAGCUUUUUAACCCUGUAAUGCCUAACGCGCUUUCUGUAUACUGCGCUGUUUGAGGCGGCAAAGUUCGAAUUAUCGCGAGGGAAAAACAAGUAGCGACAGUAUUAGGCUGGAGCCCAUUGUAGUUAUUGAAUAGCUUAAGAUUUCAAUUCUUAUGUUGAUUGUUAAUUACCUUCGCUCAUACAUAGUGUGUUUAGUACAAAUGUACCCUCCACGGCGAGAAAUAAAGGUGGAAAGAUUCUGUGAAUUUUCUGUGAUGUACAACUGUG